This 884-nucleotide ribosomal RNA is filed under the name uncultured organism. RNAcentral's name for it is "bacterial SSU rRNA". It matches the Rfam family "Bacterial small subunit ribosomal RNA", at positions 553 to 1446 of the family's 1533-position model. The record is from RNAcentral.
AUUGGGUUUAAAGGGUGUGCAGGCGGAAGAAUAAGUCAGUGGUGAAAGCCCGCAGCUUAACUGCGGAACUGCCAUUGAUACUGUUUUUCUUGAGUUCGGUUGAGGUAGNCGGAAUGUGUAAUGUACCGGUGAAAUGCUUAGAUAUUACACAGAACACCGAUUGCGAAGGCAGCUUACUAAACCGAAACUGACGCUGAGGCACGAAAGCGUGGGGAGCGAACAGGAUUAGAUACCCUGGUAGUCCACGCUGUAAACUAUGAUCACUCGCUGUUGGCAAUACAUCGUCAGCGGCUGAGCGAAAGCAUUAAGUGAUCCACCUGGGGAGUACGGUCGCAAGAUUGAAACUCAAAGGAAUUGACGGGGGCCCGCACAAGCGGUGGAACAUGUGGUUUAAUUCGAUGAUACGCGAGGAACCUUACCUGGGCUUAAAUGUAGACUGCAUUCUCGGGAAACCGAGAUUUCCUUCGGGACUGUUUACAAGGUGCUGCAUGGUUGUCGUCAGCUCGUGCCGUGAGGUGUCGGGUUAAGUCCCAUAACGAGCGCAACCCCUAUCGUUAGUUGCCAGCGAGUAAUGUCGGGGACUCUAGCGAAACUGCCGGUGUAAACCGCGAGGAAGGUGGGGAUGACGUCAAAUCAGCACGGCCCUUAUGUCCAGGGCUACACACGUGUUACAAUGGUCAGUACAAAGGGCAGCUACCUGGUGACAGGAUGCUAAUCUCAAAAACUGGUCUCAGUUCGGAUUGAAGUCUGCAAUUCGACUUCAUGAAGCUGGGAUCGCUAGUAAUCGCGCAUCAGCAACGGCGCGGUGAUACGUUCCCGGGCCUUGUACACACCGCCCGUCAAGCCAUGGAAGCUGGGGGUGCCUGAAGUCCGUAACCGCAAGG